UUACAAAAAACUUUUAUUUUUUCACAUUAAAAGCAAAACCAUUUGACAUAUUUUGGAAUUAAUCAUAGUAUAAAAAUGAAGUGCCUGUCUGUCUAUGCCUGCAGCUGAGUAGUAAGGAAGCCAAGGGCUGCAGAAUUUCAAGCAAGAGGAUUAAGGUACCAAACAUCACAGAACACUUUAAUUCACACUUUGAGGUACUGUAGGUUUAGACAUCACAAUAUAUUAUUCAAAAUUAGUGUUAAGUGAAUCUAAGUUAACAAA
Long non-coding RNA from Bufo bufo (common toad), 261 nucleotides. RefSeq lists it as uncharacterized. The transcript has 2 exons. The record is from RefSeq and is a predicted model, not a curated record. NCBI's taxonomy places the organism in Eukaryota, Metazoa, Chordata, Amphibia, Anura, Bufonidae.